Molecule: long non-coding RNA, 688 nt
Organism: Xenia sp. Carnegie-2017
Lineage: Eukaryota; Metazoa; Cnidaria; Anthozoa; Malacalcyonacea; Xeniidae
Exons: 2
Source: RefSeq, a predicted model, not a curated record
GCACCGAUGCAUUCAACUUUGAACUUCAAAGUUGAAUGCAUUGUUAUUUGAUCACUUGAUAUAACUCGCAAUCAUCGAUCGAAGUCAUGGCUGUCGAGAAUAUCAAACACGAUCUGUGUACUCUGCUUCGAGAAGAGAAGUCAUUUGAUAUUAAUGGAGUGCGUCGAACCUAUGAAACGAGAGCUGCUACUUUUAUUUCAAAAUCCUCUCCUUGGAAUCCCUUUUCAAAGGGUAAAAAUGGGAGAGAUAUGUCAAGUGAAAUGUUAAUACCUAAGCACUUGACAAUUCAUUGGCAAAGUGGAGAACUAAGACCUUUAAACCAUGGCAACAAAGUUUUCAUUUAUCCGGUGGCCGGUAAAUAGAGGUCUGGAGAGAGUUAGACGGAUGUGUAAGAACUACGAAUUAAAGCGAAUAGAAAAAAUCAAGAAUUUAGCUGCAUUACCGAUAAUAAAGCAAGACUUUGUGUACCCUAACUCUUUGCCUAUAGCUACAUUAUAGUGGUGUAGUUAUGUCAUGUAUACAUUUUUCAGUUCUUAAUGAUGCAAAGAAUAGAACUAUGAAAAAUUCCAAGGCACUUUUCAUUAUUGACGUGCUCCCACCUGAACUCUCCGAGUGUAUGUAAAAGAGUAAUCACAAUAGAAAUUUUCUAUGUUUCUUUAUAGCAAGUACAUCUAACUUCGAAUAUUAA